RNAcentral lists this ribosomal RNA (918 nucleotides) under uncultured Actinomycetes bacterium. RNAcentral's name for it is "bacterial SSU rRNA". It matches the Rfam family "Bacterial small subunit ribosomal RNA", at positions 47 to 966 of the family's 1533-position model. The record is from RNAcentral. Lineage: Bacteria; Bacillati; Actinomycetota; Actinomycetes.
AUCNGUCUAAAUGCAGUCGAGCGGUAGACCUCUUCGGGGGUACACGAGCGGCGAACGGGUGAGUAACACGUGAGUAAUCUGCCCUUCACUUCGGGAUAACUACCGGAAACGGUGGCUAAUACCGGAUAUGACCUGUCCUCGCAUGGGGGUGGGUGGAAAGUUCUGGCGGUGGAGGAUGUGCUCGCGGCCAAUCAGCUUGAUGGUGGGGUAAUGGCCUACCAUGGCUUCGACGGGUAGCCGGCCUGAGAGGGUGACCGGCCACACUGGGACUGAGACACGGCCCAGACUCCUACGGGAGGCAGCAGUGGGGAAUAUUGGACAAUGGGCGAAAGCCUGAUCCAGCAACGCCGCGUGAGGGAUGACGGCCUUCGGGUUGUAAACCUCUUUCAGUAUCGACGAAGCUGUGCCUUUUUGGGUGUGGUGACGGUAGGUACAGAAGAAGCACCGGCCAACUACGUGCCAGCAGCCGCGGUAAUACGUAGGGUGCGAGCGUUGUCCGGAAUUAUUGGGCGUAAAGGGCUCGUAGGCGGUUUGUCGCGUCGGGAGUGAAAACACUGGGCUUAACUCAGUGCUUGCUUCCGAUACGGGCAGACUAGAGGUAUGCAGGGGAGAACGGAAUUCCUGGUGUAGCGGUGAAAUGCGCAGAUAUCAGGAGGAACACCGGUGGCGAAGGCGGUUCUCUGGGCAUGACCUGACGCUGAGGAGCGAAAGUGUGGGGAGCGAACAGGAUUAGAUACCCUGGUAGUCCACACCGUAAACGUUGGGCGCUAGGUGUGGGGCCUAUUCCAUGGGUUCCGUGCCGCAGCUAACGCAUUAAGCGCCCCGCCUGGGGAGUACGGCCCCAAGGCUAAANCUCAAAGGAAUUGACGGGGCCCNCACAAGCGGCGGAACAUGCGGAUUAAUUCNAUGCACNCGAAA